AAUUAUUUUGGCAGAUUAGUGCAAUGAAUUUAGAAUUCAUAUAUGUAAUUUUAUUACAAGUAAUACUUGUUUUAU
This 75-nucleotide transfer RNA is filed under the name Nebria fontinalis. Its description in RNAcentral is "tRNA-Leu". RNAcentral also lists the same sequence under 2 other names. The record is from RNAcentral. Lineage: Eukaryota; Metazoa; Arthropoda; Insecta; Coleoptera; Carabidae.